This 465-nucleotide ribosomal RNA is filed under the name Vreelandella stevensii. RNAcentral's name for it is "partial 16S ribosomal RNA". It matches the Rfam family "Bacterial small subunit ribosomal RNA", at positions 338 to 795 of the family's 1533-position model. Lineage: Bacteria; Pseudomonadati; Pseudomonadota; Gammaproteobacteria; Oceanospirillales; Halomonadaceae. The record is from RNAcentral.
CCUACGGGGGGCAGCAGUGGGGUAUAUUGGACAAUGGGGGCAACCCUGAUCCAGCCAUGCCGCGUGUGUGAAGAAGGCCCUCGGGUUGUAAAGCACUUUCAGUGAGGAAGAACGCCUGGUGGUUAAUACCCAUCAGGAAAGACAUCACUCACAGAAGAAGCACCGGCUAACUCCGUGCCAGCAGCCGCGGUAAUACGGAGGGUGCGAGCGUUAAUCGGAAUUACUGGGCGUAAAGCGCGCGUAGGUGGCUUGAUAAGCCGGUUGUGAAAGCCCCGGGCUCAACCUGGGAACGGCAUCCGGAACUGUCAAGCUAGAGUGCAGGAGAGGAAGGUAGAAUUCCCGGUGUAGCGGUGAAAUGCGUAGAGAUCGGGAGGAAUACCAGUGGCGAAGGCGGCCUUCUGGAUUGACACUGACACUGAGGUGCGAAAGCGUGGGUAGCAAACAGGAUUAGAUACCCGGGUAGUC